This 465-nucleotide ribosomal RNA is filed under the name uncultured bacterium. RNAcentral's name for it is "partial 16S ribosomal RNA". It matches the Rfam family "Bacterial small subunit ribosomal RNA", at positions 338 to 795 of the family's 1533-position model. The record is from RNAcentral.
CCUACGGGGGUCAGCAGUAGGGAAUCUUCCACAAUGGGCGAAAGCCUGAUGGAGCAACGCCGCGUGGGUGAAGAAGGUCUUCGGAUCGUAAAACCCUGUUGUUAGAGAAGAAAGUGCGUGAGAGUAACUGUUCACGUUUCGACGGUAUCUAACCAGAAAGCCACGGCUAACUACGUGCCAGCAGCCGCGGUAAUACGUAGGUGGCAAGCGUUAUCCGGAUUUAUUUGGCGUAAAGGGAACGCAGGCGGUCUUUUAAGUCUGAUGUGAAAGCCUUCGGCUUAACCGGAGUAGUGCAUUGGAAACUGGGAGACUUGAGUGCAGAAGAGGAGAGUGGAACUCCAUGUGUAGCGGUGAAAUGCGUAGAUAUAUGGAAGAACACCAGUGGCGAAAGCGGCUCUCUGGUCUGUAACUGACGCUGAGGUUCGAAAGCGUGGGUAGCAAACAGGAUUAGAUACCCGUGUAGUC